CCAAGUGAACAAAUCAUUUGGAAGAUAAAAAAUUAAGCGAGCUGUCAGUCGUGGCGACCAUGUUUGUUUUCGAUUUUGUGUCAAAUUUUGUGAGUGUGAUCAGAGUGUGAUCAUAUGCAUGAUAUACGUUCUCUGGUGUGAUCAGUAAGGUUUGGCAUUUCAUCAAGUCACGUUUCACUUUGAUAGAACGCUUGAAAUUUAUUCAAGAGUAUUACGUAAAUUCACGUUCUCUGGUGUCUGCUGUUCAUCGAAAAUCAUCUUCUCAGAAGAGGCCCAUUUCUGGCUUAACGGCUCCGUCAACAAACAAAAUUGUUACUAUUGGGGUGAGUCAAAUCCUCGUGUGGUUCAGGAAAUGCAAUUGCAUCAAAAAAAAAUGGACCGUUCGGUUCGGAUUGCGGUAUGGUGGUAUCAACAAUAGCGAGCUUUUUUCCGGAAUUUGAUGAAAUUGACGCGGGCGAUCAUUGUUUCCAACAAGACGGUGCGCCAUCUCAUGUGGACACAUUGCGUGCAAAUUAUGGUGACUCGUUAAUUUCGAGAAAUGGUCCAGUCAAAUGGGAUCACGCAAUUUAAAACCUCUAGGUUUUUUUCUACAGCCGAAAUGCUGCAUCGGGUUAUCAAAAAUUCGCGUAAGCGGGUGGAGCUGUGGUGUCCGUUUGGCCGACAUUUUGUUCAAAUCAUAAAUGAUCCGAUGUGGGCAAAAGAGGGGGACGAAAAUGUCAAAACAUCCCCAUAAUGAUUAAAAAUGCUCGAAAAAAUGAAAUCUGUUAAUUGUGAAUGCCACGCGUAUGCAUACGAAAGAUUAAUGGGGUUACAAAUCAAUGAAAACAAUAGAACAUUUUCACGAAUUUUUUCUGCUGCACGAAACUUUUUUCUGCUCUCACACCGAACUCCUAAUUAAUCCAAACUUUAUAUUCGGUGAUCUUAACAUUCCGUUUUUUCGUGGACGUCUCUGGUCAUUGGAAUAUACAAUAUGACCGGAUAGCUGAGAAAUCCGAAUGACCUUCACAGCUCCAGUAAAGUGAUGCGUGUCUAAGCAAAAUUUUAUAGACUAUUUCAAGAUAUGUUAAGAAAAAGAAAGUGCUGGAGAUUUCAAAGUGAAGAAAAAAGUAAACUGUGAUAUAUUUUUUUACAUUAAAUUGUGAAAAAUGCAAUAAAAUUAACGAAAUAAACGAAAAGUAAAUGAAAUCAGUCAACUUUUGCAUUGGUAGAAUUGGCCCAAUCCGGAAAGUCAUUCAAAUCUGGAUAUAUAACGAGACCCCAUGUUUGCAUAAAGCCCAACAGAGAAACGGUGACAAUUAAUGUGGGCAAAAUCCCACCAAGUGCCUGUAGAUUAAAUGGACAAUUACGCAUUUCAGAAAUUUAUAUAUUAUUUAUUGACCAUGUCCUUUGUACGAAUGUAGCCAAAUUGCGCCACUAUAGCAUUCGGCGGCGUACUGACCGGCAGAUGAAAAGCCAUACUCAGACCCAAGGCUGCAGGAAAGCAGAUAUAAGCCGGAUUAACUUUAACUGAUAAGGCCUGGAAACACAAAGUUAAAGUUUAUUGCAAAAUAGGCUAUUCUCAAGAUAAGCGCUUACCAAAUUUAUCAAUAUGGGUAUAAGAAUAUUGCACAUGGCUACAUUGGAUGUGAAAGCGGUACAAAAUACAGCGACACAAAAACAAAUUAACUGUAAAAGCCAGGGCGGCAAUACAGAUAAAACCGACAGAGAUGCGCCAACGUACGAUGCAAAAUGGGACUUGGAGGCACCCUCAGCGAGCGCAAAACCACCAGCAAGCAGAUAGAGUAAGCCCCAAGAGUGACGCACGGAGAACCAAGACCAAUCAAGAACCGGUUUCGCUGUGCCCUCCUCAUCCGGUUCUAUAAAAAAUUUGCAGAUGAAUUGUUAAUACAAAUCAGCUACGAAAUCCAACAUACUUCGGCAUAUGAAGUACUUCAUGCACAAAUAAUUGACAGGCAACGCAAAGAGUAGAAAUGCAACACCCGAGAGGCCAGCAGAUGACUGUAUUUUUCUGUAAUAAACAAAAAGCGUAAGAAAUGAAAAGUUCAUGGUUUGUAUUUGCUUUCACGCUAACUUUUCAUUUAUAAUGUCCGCGUAACCUUUGAGAUCACCUAUGCCUGGUUUCCUGGUAAGAAAAAGUAUUAUCAUGAGAAUAAAAAGUAUGCCCACUUGGAUUUCGUGACAUGAAA
Bactrocera oleae (olive fruit fly) is the source of this 2186-nucleotide long non-coding RNA. RefSeq lists it as uncharacterized. NCBI's taxonomy places the organism in Eukaryota, Metazoa, Arthropoda, Insecta, Diptera, Tephritidae. The record is from RefSeq and is a predicted model, not a curated record.